UUGCUAUAUUAGACUUUUUUGGUUAUAUAAUUAUGAUAUGUGGUUUUCAAAUUAUGGUAACUAAUAGCAAUUGUUAUAACAAUUAUUAUGUUGUUUGUAGAUAACUAUUAUUUAUUGAGGAAACAGUACUUUUGACCCCUCGACUUUGCCCGUAUUUCAGACAUGCCACCUCCAUUUUAAAAACUUUUAAUUAAAACACAAAUGCUAUAUUUCAUUGCAAUGUGAUCCUUCCAUCCGUCUUU
Molecule: long non-coding RNA, 242 nt
Filed under: Elaeis guineensis (African oil palm)
Lineage: Eukaryota; Viridiplantae; Streptophyta; Magnoliopsida; Arecales; Arecaceae
Description: long non-coding RNA (EGUI_LNC025155)
Source: RNAcentral